Non-coding RNA from Mycena latifolia, 91 nucleotides. The record is from the annotation of a GenBank genome assembly. NCBI's taxonomy places the organism in Eukaryota, Fungi, Basidiomycota, Agaricomycetes, Agaricales, Mycenaceae.
GGCCCGGUAGCGGACGGUUUCCGCGCUUGCUUUCAAUUCUUGGGUUUUCUCCGAUUGUGCGGGAGUGCUCGUUCGACUCGAGCCUGGGCCA